This 297-nucleotide ribosomal RNA is filed under the name Triticum aestivum (bread wheat). RNAcentral describes it as "partial small subunit ribosomal RNA". Lineage: Eukaryota; Viridiplantae; Streptophyta; Magnoliopsida; Poales; Poaceae. The record is from RNAcentral.
AUGGCCGGAAAGAUCUCAAGCUCGUCCCCGGCUUGUACGCCUUCAUCGUCUGCGUUGCUGCCACGGGGAGAGAGUCAUGGCACUCGACGUCGUCUCCUUCGUCCACGCACGCGUCCACGAGCCUCGGAUCGACCUCCCCGACGACCUCUUCUUCCCCUGCUUCCUCUGCUUCACGGACGCCAAGCCAGAGGCCUCUUCUCGUCGCUGACCUCUCCUUCUUCCUCAGGUCUACCUCGUCGCUGGCUAAAUUCGUCGCAUCCCCAAGCUCGAUCGACCCCUCCGAGCCCCUGUAUGUGA